Leucoraja erinaceus (little skate) is the source of this 500-nucleotide long non-coding RNA. RefSeq lists it as uncharacterized. The record is from RefSeq and is a predicted model, not a curated record. Lineage: Eukaryota; Metazoa; Chordata; Chondrichthyes; Rajiformes; Rajidae. The transcript has 2 exons.
CUCCGGCCGCUUGCUCGCGCUGACAGUUGACAGUUGGAGCCGGCGGUUGGCGAUCGGGCAGCGGCGCGCGGGCAGGGGGUCAGUAAAGGCCAAAGCAGCCGAGGGCAAGGCAGCGCCGAGCCGCCGACCCACGCUCGGCCAGCAUUCUCCAUAAUUUUAAUUCAGGAUGAAAGCGACCUAUGGUUCCCGUGCAUGCCCGCCGCCACUGCCGCUGUGUGAGUGAGGAGAUAUGUACAUGUCAACUGAAGACCCACUGUGUGACCGGUGAAUGGCUCUCUGGUUAAGAGCAGGUUUAUACUGCGGUGGUUUCAGAGGGAAAGUGUUCCUGCUGUGGACAUUGUGCCGCCCAUUCGUACCUUCCUGGGCCUCGGCCUGGCUCUGAAUGAUGUAGGUGUCCAGCACCCGAGAUUCCAGAUCCUUGCCUUUCUCAGGCGCCGUCACAAGUCUGCUUACUUCAUUGUCCUACGCAGAACAAAAAUAAAUGGCUGCCUGAGUUACUC